RNAcentral lists this ribosomal RNA (387 nucleotides) under uncultured Anaerolineaceae bacterium. RNAcentral's name for it is "bacterial SSU rRNA". It matches the Rfam family "Bacterial small subunit ribosomal RNA", at positions 983 to 1382 of the family's 1533-position model. Lineage: Bacteria; Bacillati; Chloroflexota; Anaerolineae; Anaerolineales; Anaerolineaceae. The record is from RNAcentral.
GACAUAUAGGUUGUAGGGAACUGAAAAGGGACCGACCCGUUCGGGGAGCCUAUACAGGUGUUGCAUGGCUGUCGUCAGCUCGUGUCGUGAGAUGUUCGGUUAAGUCCGCUAACGAGCGCAACCCUCGUCGUAUGUUAUAUGUGUCAUACGAGACUGCCGGUAAAAGCCGGAGGAAGGUGAGGAUGAUGUCAAGUCAGCAUGACCUUUAUAUCCAGGGCUACACACACGCUACAAUGGUCUGUACAAUGGGUAGCCAAGCCGCGAGGCGGAGCCAAUCCUGAAAGCAGGCCUCAGUUCAGAUUGCAGUCUGCAACUCGACUGCAUGAAGCCGGAGUUGCUAGUAACCGCAGGUCAGCAAUACUGCGGCGAAUACGGUUCCCGGGUCUU